Molecule: ribosomal RNA, 447 nt
Filed under: uncultured bacterium
Lineage: Bacteria
Description: partial 16S ribosomal RNA
Rfam family: Bacterial small subunit ribosomal RNA
Source: RNAcentral
CCCAGACUCCUACGGGAGGCAGCAGUGGGGGAUAUUGCACAAUGGGGGGAACCCUGAUGCAGCGACGCCGCGUGGGUGAAGGAGCGUUUCGGCGCGUAAAGCCCUAUCGGCAGGGAAGAAGGAGGACGGUACCUGACUAAGAAGCCCCGGCUAACUACGUGCCAGCAGCCGCGGUAAUACGUAGGGGGCAAGCGUUAUCCGGAUUUACUGGGUGUAAAGGGGGCGCAGACGGCAGCGCAAGCCUGGAGUGAAAGCCCGGGGCCCAACCCCGGGACUGCUCUUGGAACUGCGCGGCUGGAGUGCAGGAGGGGCAGGCGGAAUUCCUGGUGUAGCGGUGAAAUGCGUAGAUAUCAGGAGGAACACCGGUGGCGAAGGCGGCCUGCUGGACUGCGACUGACGUUGAGGCCCGAAAGCGUGGGGAGCAAACAGGAUUAGAUACCCGCGUAA